This 224-nucleotide long non-coding RNA is filed under the name Mytilus galloprovincialis (Mediterranean mussel). Lineage: Eukaryota; Metazoa; Mollusca; Bivalvia; Mytilida; Mytilidae. The record is from RNAcentral.
CUGAUAAUAUUUUGUUAUGCCUUACUUCGGUCGCACAGUUUCAAAGCCAUGCCAUAAUUACAGAUGUAUUACAAUGCUAUAACAUGUUCAUUAUCUAAUUGAAUUAAGACAAUAUACUUCAUUUUGCCAGAACUUUUCGUUUAUAUGUGUACCCAUCUAAUAAGUUGCCACCUUAAAGUACAACUCGAAAAUUGCAUCAGAUUCGAGGGGAUCUCAAGUAACAC